RNAcentral lists this transfer RNA (28 nucleotides) under Bradytriton silus (Finca Chiblac salamander). RNAcentral's name for it is "partial tRNA-Lys". Lineage: Eukaryota; Metazoa; Chordata; Amphibia; Caudata; Plethodontidae. The record is from RNAcentral.
CACUAAGAAGCUUUCACGACAGCGACAG